UCACGCUGGUUACGGUUACAGCCUACAGGCCGACGCCCUUUUUGCGAAUCUCACCGCCAGCAAUUGCUGCCCCUCUCGCUGCCGCCGGCAUCGCGUCCUCCCCGAUCCUUUUCUCUCUGCUUAUCUCGGCGCCCUUCGUCUGCAUCUCGCGGCUGGAAAUUGCUGCGCCUCUCGCUGCCGCCGCUCGUCCUCGACUCCUUGCCGUCCCUUGUCUUUCUGCUCAUCUCGCCGCCCUUCCAGUACGUCCUCACCGACGGCCAUCGCAAAUCGCUGCUGUCGGACCCUCCCCGUCCCUUCUCUGCAACCACGACGAGUCCGACGACAUCCAUGCAGGUGUACUUCCAUUUGGCCUGUGAGCUGUCGAUAUGAUUUUGACGAUGUAAAGAUUGGGCUUCCCCAAAUGUAAGUCCAAAUAUCUGGAUUAUCAGACAGAGUUAGCCUCUCCGUACUUGCAGCUAAAAGCAAGAGUUGUUCCAGGGCUCGAUUGGAAAUUGGUAAGUGAAAGAGUUGCUGAAUAUCCAAAAUUUCUUGGGCCUCUUGUAUUGAGAUUUCCUUCCUCUUUGCAAAGGAGAUCAACUAGCCAAGAAGCGAGGGACCACCUUUGGUAAAGUUGAAAUGAUCAGUGGCUAAAUUAUUAUAUCUGCGCAUACAAGAAUGGAUAAAGCAGCAAUAAAGUUUAACAAUACUAGAUGUUUAUGUUUAUAUUUUCCUUUUUCUAGUAAUAUGAACUUUGUAGUAUUCACUACAUUUUCUUAUUAGAAUCAUAUCCUUAUGUAUGAACAUGAUGUGAACAACAGAACAAGUACUACGGUUGUAACCUUCCUACAAUCAA
Setaria italica (foxtail millet) is the source of this 832-nucleotide long non-coding RNA. RefSeq lists it as uncharacterized. Lineage: Eukaryota; Viridiplantae; Streptophyta; Magnoliopsida; Poales; Poaceae. The record is from RefSeq and is a predicted model, not a curated record. The transcript has 3 exons.